RNAcentral lists this long non-coding RNA (799 nucleotides) under Homo sapiens (human). RNAcentral describes it as "HSALNT0324649". Lineage: Eukaryota; Metazoa; Chordata; Mammalia; Primates; Hominidae. The record is from RNAcentral.
UCCCGUGACCCACCCCCCGUUCAUCCCGUGACCCAGCCCCCAACCCCGUUCAUCCCGUGACCCACCCCCAACCCCGGUUUAGCCCGUGACCCACCCCCCCCCCGUUCAUCCCGUGACCCACCCCCCGGUUCAUCCCGUGACCCAGCCCCCAACCCCGUUCAUCCCGUGACCCAGACCCCACCCUGGUUUAUCCCAUGACCCACCCACGGUUCAUCCUGUGACCCGCCCCCCGUUCAUCCCGUGACCCACCCCCCACCCCUGGUUUAUCCCGUGACCCACCCCCGGGUCAUCCUGUGACCCAGACCCCACCCUGGUUUAUCCCAUGACCCGCCCACGGUUCAUCCUGUGACCCGCCCCCCGUUCAUCCCGUGACCCAGCCCCCCACCCCUGGUUUAUCCCGUGACCCACCCCCGGGUCAUCCUGUGACCCAGACCCCACCCCUGGUUUAUCCCGUGACCCACCCUCGGGUCAUCCCGUGACCCAGACCCCACGCCUGGUUUAUCCCGUGACCCACCCGCAGCACCAGCACCUCAGUGCUGCUUUUGUAUUUAUAGUCGCCUUGCUGUAUGUUGAGCGUAAUUUUACAAUCUGCCCAAAAUUCCUUUGAAGAGCAGAUAGGUGUGUACACCCUAAAUGAAUAAAAUACAGUGCGAUUUGGUGAAAGGUAACGGCUCGUUUAUUUUCCUUGCCAUAAAAAUGCUACAAUCACCCUGAAGGUGAACCUGGCAAGCGGCAUAGGGGCCAGGGCCUCACUCGGCUCUCCUGUGCACCCCGCCCCGGUGUGAUGUUUGGAGAUUUG